CCUACGGGUGACAGCAGUGGGGAAUAUUGGGCAAUGGGCGCAAGCCUGACCCAGCAACGCCGCGUGAAGGAAGAAGGCCUUCGGGUUGUAAACUUCUUUUAUGAGGGACGAAACAAAUGACGGUACCUCAUGAAUAAGCCACGGCUACCUACGGGGCAGCAGCCGCGGUAAUACGUAGGUGGCAAGCGUUAUCCGGAUUUAAGGGGUGUAAAGGGCGUGUAGGCGGGACUGCAAGUCAGAUGUGAAAAUUAUGGGCUCAACCCAUAGCCUGCAUUGGAAACUGUAGUACUUGAGUGAUGGAGAGGCAGGCGGAAUUCCAUGUGUAGCGGUGAAAUGCGUAGAUAUACGGAGGAACACCAGUGGCGAAGGCGGCAUGCUGGACAUUAACUGACGCUGAGGCGCGAAAGCGUGGGGAGCAAACAGGAUUAGAUACCCUAGUAGUC
RNAcentral lists this ribosomal RNA (443 nucleotides) under uncultured bacterium. RNAcentral describes it as "partial 16S ribosomal RNA". It matches the Rfam family "Bacterial small subunit ribosomal RNA", at positions 338 to 795 of the family's 1533-position model. The record is from RNAcentral.